UGUCUUUGUUAAAGUCACCCCCAAAAGCCUAAAAAUGCUAUGGAUAGUAGAACCUUAUGUGACCUGGGGAUUUCCAAAUCUGAAGUCUGUCCGGGAACUCAUCUCGAAACGUGGAUAAGCAAGGGUCAAGAAUAAGACCAUCCCCCUGACAGACAACACAGUGAUUGAGGAGCAUCUGGGGAAGUUUGAUAUCAUUUGUCUGGAAGACCUCAUUCAUGAAAUUGCCUCCCUGGGGAAGCAUUUUUGGGAGAUCCCUGGAUUAUGGCACCCUUUCCUAGGGG
This 281-nucleotide long non-coding RNA is filed under the name Marmota monax (woodchuck). Lineage: Eukaryota; Metazoa; Chordata; Mammalia; Rodentia; Sciuridae. The record is from RNAcentral.